This 440-nucleotide ribosomal RNA is filed under the name uncultured bacterium. RNAcentral's name for it is "partial 16S ribosomal RNA". It matches the Rfam family "Bacterial small subunit ribosomal RNA", at positions 338 to 795 of the family's 1533-position model. The record is from RNAcentral.
CCUACGUGGGGCAGCAGUAGGGAAUAUUGCUCAAUGGGGGAAACCCUGAAGCAGCAACGCCGCGUGGAGGAUGAAGGUUUUCGGAUUGUAAAAUCCUUCUGUUAGAGAAGAUAAUGACGGUAUCCAACGAAUAAGCACCGGCUAACUCCGUGCCAGCAGCCGCGGUAAUACGGAGGGUGCAAGCGUUACUCGGAAUCACUGGGCGUAAAGAGCGCGUAGGCGGGAUAGCAAGUCAGAUGUGAAAUCCUAUGGCUUAACCAUAGAACUGCAUUUGAAACUGUUAUUCUAGAGUUUGGGAGAGGUAGGUGGAAUUCUUGGUGUAGGGGUAAAAUCCGUAGAGAUCAAGAGGAAUACUCAUUGCGAAGGCGACCUGCUAGAACAUAACUGACGCUGAUGCGCGAAAGCGUGGGGAGCAAACAGGAUUAGAUACCCCUGUAGUC